RNAcentral lists this long non-coding RNA (381 nucleotides) under Oryza sativa aus subgroup. RNAcentral describes it as "lncRNA OsNaBo_02g0007050". The record is from RNAcentral. Lineage: Eukaryota; Viridiplantae; Streptophyta; Magnoliopsida; Poales; Poaceae.
CGGAUUGGAUUACGUGCGGCCCACGCGAUCUCUCGGCCCAUCAAGCACUCCACCUCUCACCACCGCAAGUCCGUAACCAACUGGAGCUCCUCCUCGUCGUCGUCAUCGUCCUCCUCUCCGGCUCGAUCUCCCACCGCGGCGGCGACUCCAGAUCGGCGGCGAAGCCCAGGAUCUCCGGCGAGGGCAGGAGAAUGUCGAGAUAAAGGUGGAGUAGUCGAGUAUCGCGUAAAAGAAAGAGAAAUCUCUCCCCGUGUCGUUGUCUCCUCCGCUCCUCGCGCCGCCGCCAAGACGAGUCGCGGGGGAGGGGCGGCGAUCGAGCAGAGCAGGGGAGGGGAGGGGAUCCUGAUCUGGAAGGAGCUCUUCUCCUCCUCCUUAAUUUGA